CUUCCAGGUCGACGCCAUGUUCCUUAAACUACACGAAAAAUUACAGAUCUGGCAAAUAGCUCUGUUGAAUCCCACGUUCUUGUCAGAAAAUUCGAUUCAAUAGUCAUCGCCAUCUUCCGUUGUAACGUAUACGUAUUUGCGAAUCUAUGUAUAUACAAUCAAUCUAUGAAAAUUGAUUCAGAUUCAAUUUCAAUUCAAGAAUGCCGGGAGAAACCCUAACCCUAGCUCCGCCCGGCUUCAACCUCUUCCAGUUCCUCAAAUCACCAGAUAAAACCCUAACUUUCCAUCAAAUCUCCGUCCUCGUCAUCACAUUCGCCGCCUACGCCGCCUUCCACGCCUCUCGAAAGCCUCCCAGCAUCGUCAAGAGCAUUUUGGCCCCCCAAUCAGGCGACCACUCAACUGGGAAUGCCGCCGGCUGGCGGCCGUUCAAUGGGCCCCAUGGCGCCCACCGCCUCGGCGAGCUCGAUCUCGCCUUCCUCUCGGCCUAUGCGGCCGGAAUGUACUUCGCCGGCCACGUCGGCGACCGGAUCGAUCUACGGGUGUUCCUGACAACUGGGAUGAUGGGCAGUGGCAUUUUGACGAUGGUUUUUGGGUUUGGGUAUUGGUUAGAAGUUCAUGAUUUGGGUUUCUUUGUGUUGGUUCAGGUUGUGUGUGGAUUAUUUCAGUCAAUUGGGUGGCCUUGUGUUGUGGCUGUGGUUGGGAAUUGGUUUGGGAAGUCCAAGAGAGGGUUGAUAAUGGGGGUAUGGAAUUCGCACACUUCAGUGGGUAAUAUUAUCGGUUCAGUGGUGGCAUCUUCUGUGUUGGGUUUUGGGUGGGGUUGGUCCUUUGUGUUUCCUGGGAUUUUCAUUAUAUUGGUGGGGAUUGUGGUUUAUUUGUUUCUUGUUGUGAAUCCUGAGGAUGUUGGAUUGGAGUUGCCGGGAAAGGAGAUCGAGAUGAAUGUGGAGGGAGUGCCAUUAGUUGAUGCGGAGGAACUUGAGUCUGGUGAAGCAGGGCUGCAUCAAUCUCAGAAUUCAGAUUCUUUGGCUGCAAUUGGGUUUUUGGAGGCGUGGAGAUUGCCGAAUGUGGCACCAUUUGCAUUCUGUCUGUUCUUCUCUAAGCUUGUGGCUUACACUUUCUUAUACUGGUUGCCCUUCUACAUAAGGCACACUGCUGUUGCAGGUGUGCAUUUUUCACACAAAAAUGCUGGCAUCCUUUCCACAAUAUUUGAUAUUGGAGGGGUUAGCGGUGGUGUUCUCGCAGGGUAUAUUUCUGAUAUGAUUGAAGCUCGUGGUGUUACUUCAGUUAUAUUCUUGUUGCUGUCCAUUCCUGCCCUAGUUGCUUACCGCUCUUAUGGAAGCAUAUCUAUGUUUGCCAAUAUUGUGCUGAUGUUUCUAUCUGGGUUGCUUGUAAAUGGGCCAUAUGCACUCAUAACCACUGCAGUUGCAGCUGAUCUUGGUACACAGAGCUUGAUUAAGGGCAACUCCCGUGCUUUAGCUACUGUGACCGCAAUUAUAGAUGGUACUGGGUCCAUUGGGGCCGCUCUUGGCCCACUUUUAGCAGGUUAUAUUUCAACUAGAGGAUGGAACAGCGUGUUUUUUAUGCUUAUUGUUUCUAUCUCUUUUGCGGCUUUGCUCUUGAUUAAUGUUGUCAAAACUGAGAUUAAAGGGAAGCUAAGUGAAGGAAAAUUACUGGGGCUGGGCACAAGCAUAGCAGCACAAUGAGGGGGGAUUUUAUCUGGAGUUCAAAUUGUAUUACUUUACUCGUACUGAAGAAAUAACCAAUGUUGGUCCUGCUAAGCUGUGAUGAGGGGAGGGGUGGACAGCUUGCAGAAUCAGUGGUGGUUCAAGUAUUCAUUCACUUCUUCAGUGUAUAUUAUUAGGAAAUGGCUUCCUACAGCAGAUAGAGCUUUGGCAGCAGACUUUAUAGAGCUACAAUACGCGUAUGGCUUUUGUAUCUUAUUAAGAUGUUAACUUACACAUACUGAACAUUGAUUAGGGAUUUUUUCUGAGCAUAUUGUAACAAAUUUUGUAUUGCUUAUUCAUACCUAGAUAAAAACUUUGCUUGUUUUGGUCCCAAGAAGAUGAUUCACCCCCUUUAAUGAAGAGAUAUUGUGGACUGAAAGCCAUGGAAGAAUUAGAGCUCCGAUGAAACUGAAAAGAUAACCUAAGCGUCUGAAAGCUCUCACCAAUCUGUUGAACCUGAGGAAUAAGGAGCAGGUUGAUGAAAUCUUGGAGGGCCAAAUUACCAUUGCCAUAAGCAUAUAUGGUAUCUCAUUCUUCAUCUGAAGUGAGCUGUUUGAAGCAUUAGAAAUGACAUUGAGUACAAGCUGGUACCAUUGCCCCAAACCAACAAGAGCAGCUGUUUCAUUGGUUGCUUCCUUGACAGGGCUGCGUUUCGAAGUAGUUGGCAAUUGGCAGUUGGAUGAAGUUCUACAAAGAAUAGAAACCGUGUUUAUUGGAAGAACUGACAUUUGGUUGACAACAGCUGCACAGCAUAUGUUCUAAAGCAUCUUAGACUUAUUUUUUUGUUGUUAUUUUUAAUGCUAGCAUGUAGUUAAGGUUCAAUAUUUUCAGAAGGAAGCUUAUCUAUGAUGGCAGGACAGUCGGGGCAGAAAAUAUUGCUUUUAUUAUUAAUUGAGAUGCACAAAUUAUGAGUUGUGUAUGUGCCUAAGGAAUAUUAUAAUUAAGGUUUAUCUUCAUUUGUACUUUUA
Molecule: RNA transcript, 2689 nt
Organism: Diospyros lotus (date-plum)
Lineage: Eukaryota; Viridiplantae; Streptophyta; Magnoliopsida; Ericales; Ebenaceae
Gene name: putative glycerol-3-phosphate transporter 5
Exons: 4
Source: RefSeq, a predicted model, not a curated record